RNAcentral lists this ribosomal RNA (948 nucleotides) under Lasiodiplodia pseudotheobromae. RNAcentral describes it as "partial large subunit ribosomal RNA". It matches the Rfam family "Eukaryotic large subunit ribosomal RNA", at positions 19 to 982 of the family's 3401-position model. The record is from RNAcentral. Lineage: Eukaryota; Fungi; Ascomycota; Dothideomycetes; Botryosphaeriales; Botryosphaeriaceae.
GUGUACCGCGCUGACUAAGCAUAUCAAUAAGUCGGAGGAGAAGRAACCAACAGGGAUUGCCUUAGUAACGGCGAGUGAAGCGGCAACAGCUCAAAUUUGAAAGCUGGCCCUUUUAGGGUCCGCGUUGUAAUUUGUAGAGGAUGAUUCGGCGAGGGCUCCUGCCUAAGUCCCCUGGAACGGGGCGUCAUAGAGGGUGAGAAUCCCGUAUGCGGUAGGUUGCCUUAGCCAUGUGAAUCUCCUUCGACGAGUCGAGUUGUUUGGGAAUGCAGCUCUAAAUGGGAGGUAAAUUUCUUCUAAAGCUAAAUACUGGCCAGAGACCGAUAGCGCACAAGUAGAGUGAUCGAAAGAUGAAAAGCACUUUGGAAAGAGAGUUAAAAAGUACGUGAAAUUGUUGAAAGGGAAGCGCUUGCAACCAGACUUGUCCGCAGUUGCUCAGCCGGUCUCCUGACCGGCGUACUCUUCUGCGGCCAGGCCAGCAUCAGUUCGGGCGGUCGGAUAAAGGCCUCGGGAAUGUAGCUCCUCUCGGGGAGUGUUAUAGCCCGGGGUGGAAUGCGACCAGCCUGGACUGAGGAUCUCGCUUCGGCAAGGAUGCUGGCGUAAUGGUUGUAAGCGGCCCGUCUUGAAACACGGACCAAGGAGUCUAACAUCUAUGCGAGUGUUCGGGUGUCAAACCCGUACGCGUAAUGAAAGUGAACGGAGGUGGGAACCCGCAAGGGUGCACCAUCGGCCGAUCCUGAUGUCUUCGGAUGGAUUUGAGCAAGAGCAUAGCUGUUGGGACCCGAAAGAUGGUGAACUAUGCCUGAAUAGGGUGAAGCCAGAGGAAACUCUGGUGGAGGCUCGCAGCGGUUCUGACGUGCAAAUCGAUCGUCAAAUUUGGGUAUAGGGGCGAAAGACUAAUCGAACCAUCUAGUAGCCCCUGGUUCCUGCCGAAGUUCCCCUUCAGGAAUA